Non-coding RNA from Agelaius phoeniceus (red-winged blackbird), 1414 nucleotides. The record is from RefSeq and is a predicted model, not a curated record. Lineage: Eukaryota; Metazoa; Chordata; Aves; Passeriformes; Icteridae.
GUCACGUUUACAGCAGCCACCGGGAGUGUGAGGUGGUGCUGCUGACAGCUGAGGAUGCAUUUUAAAAAGCUGUGCGUGAGCAGUACCUCUGACACACCCCAGAUUUCAUAGCCAGGGCUUCCUGGGCUUAGAUGACAAUGGUACUGCUGCCUUUGAGGUGUUAAAUGUGAACAGUGAGCAGUGUUCUGGCUCCCCUGAGAGAAAGCUGCCUCUUAGUGUUAAGCAGCAUAUUUAUGGUAAACACAGGUCUGUCUCUGCCAGAGUAGCACAGAGGGCACAAAGACUGACAGCAGAUGGAGAGGUCAGAAGUAUCUAAAUGGCACCCUAGGAUUUAAGAGCAGUGCCUGAAAUUGGCAUCCCCAUGUGUCUAUCACCCACUGAGUGCUGUAGGCUGGGUUUCCUGCUUCUGUUACUGCCCUGCCACACAUAAGAGGUCAAACAGGAACAAAAAAUUGUUCUCCAAUGCCAUUAAAUUAGCUCAUUUAUAUUAAUAGGUUAAAAGCUGGUCUGAAACACCACAGAAAAAUAAAAAGAAAGCCCCAGCACCACUGAACACCACAGUGUUUACUGUCACAGAAGCAGCAUGAGGAUGCAGCUCUUGGCACAUCUCCUGUGCCAUUUCACUGGAUGCCAGCAUGGGGACUGCAGCACUGUGACCAAGGGUGAGAUCCCCAGGCUGGAGUGAAGCAAACCUCAUCCCUCUUGUGUUCCAGGUGCUCACAAACAGCCUCAUUGCAGAAGAUGCUUUGUGUCACCUCCCGGCCACCAGCUCCCGUGAACCUGUUGGCUGUCAGGCAGUGCCAGCUGGGACCAGGUUUGAAUUUCUGCCACGGUUACUUACGUGACAGGCAGUGCAGGGUUUAGAAAUGGCAUUUAUCCAACUGCUAAAACAGCAUCCCUGUCAAGGAGAGAGCAGAAAUGUCCAGAAGGGCAGCUUCCCCAAGGGAAGGCAUUGUAUCUGAGGCCAUAAAUCCCACAAGGACUAGGCUGAAAGCAAAGCACUCAAGAGGUGCCAAGGACAGGCUUGGACUGGUUGCACUCUUCCACCCUCCCAAAACUUGGGGCCAGCAGAGUUCCAGGUGGGCUGGGGAGGACAUGACAAAGACUUGCUGGAGACAGAGACAAGCUGUCUUGCCGUGAGAGCUUGUCUCUCCCACCCUCUACAGCAUGACCUUGUGGUCUGUGGAGAGAAAAUCUCAGCACCCUUUCCUCCCCACCAUCCCACCAGCGAUCCUUCCAGAGCACCAGCCGCAGCAGCCUCUAGAAGGAGGACACAGCCAUCAAGGUGAUUUGUUGAGACGAUCAAAUAAUAAUUUACUGUGAUUCAAUCUGUGGCUUUGUACAGUUGCCGGGGUGGGAGGAGGCCAAAGGAUGAGGGGAUGGGGAUAAAAAAAAAAAGAAGUUGUUUGCCACA